This 1745-nucleotide ribosomal RNA is filed under the name Acrossidius sp. NLG-2014. Its description in RNAcentral is "partial 16S ribosomal RNA". The stretch from base 1597 to 1745 matches the Rfam family "Archaeal large subunit ribosomal RNA", at positions 2544 to 2693 of the family's 2987-position model. Lineage: Eukaryota; Metazoa; Arthropoda; Insecta; Coleoptera; Scarabaeidae. The record is from RNAcentral.
UAAACUAGGAUUAGAUACCCUAUUAUAGAAAAUGUAAAUUGGAAAAGCUAAGGUAGUAAAAGUUAAGUUCUUGAAAUUUAAAAAAUUUGGCGGUAUUUUAAUCUUUUCAGAGGAACCUGUUCUAUAAUUGAUAAUCCACGAUUAAAAUUACUUAAUUUAAAAGUUUGUAUAUCGUCGUAGUUGAAUAUCUUAUAAGAGAAAAUAAUGUUCAUUAAUUAUUAUAAUAAUUUAAAGCAGAUCAAGGUGCAGUUUAUAAUUAAGAAGAGAUGGGUUACAAUAAAUUUUUAUUUAUACGGUUAAGUUAAUUAAAAUUAUUUUUAAGGUGGAUUUGAAUGUAAUUUGAUUUAUUUAAAUUGAAUGAUUUAAGCUCUAAAAUAUGCACAUAUCGCCCGUCGCUUCCAUUUAUUUUUAAAGUGGAAUAAGUCGUAACAAAGUAGGUGUACUGGAAAGUGUACCUGAAUUUAUCAAGUUAGAGCUUGUUUAUAAAGCAUUUUAUUUACAUUAAAAAGUUAAUUGUGUGAAUCAAUUUAAUUUGAUAUUUAGUAAAUUAUUUUUUUUUGUUAUUUUAGGGUUAUGUAAAUAAAAUAUUUUUUUUUUUUUUUUUUUAAAAAWAAAAUUUUUUUAAUUAUAGUUUAWAAGUWUUGGGUAAGAAUUUAUUAAAUAAUUUAAAUAUUAAAAUUUUUUAAAGAAGAAUUAAUUUUUUGUACCUUGUGUAUCAGGGUUUAUUAAAAAAAAAUUAUUUAUUUUAAUUUUCUCGAAUUAAAAGAGUUAAAAAAUUAUAUAUUUUAUUGUGAAAUAAAUUUUUAAAAUAAUUUUUUAGUAAUGAAACGUUAGUCGUUUUUUAAUUUAUCUAGUUUUUUGAGAAAUAAAUUUAAUUUAGUAAAUAUUUAUUAUUAUUUUAAUUUUUUAAUUUAAUGGAGGUAUUUAAUAAUAUUUUAGGGGAUAAGCUUUAAAAUAAAUUUUUAUAAAUAUAUUUUUUUUAUUUUAAUAUGUAGGAUUAGAAUUUUCUUUCAUUGUAGUAUGUUAUAAUUAAUUUUUUGUUUAAUAAGAUUUAUAUAUAUAUUUUAAAUUUUUUAUUAAAAUUAUUUAUUUAAUAAUGAAAUAUUUGUAAUAAUGAUAGAAUUAGUAUAAUUUAAAGUUUAAUUAAUUUAAAAAUUUUAGGUUAAAUUAAGGAAUUCGGCAAAAAAUUUUUCCGCCUGUUUAUUAAAAACAUGGCUUUUUGAUAAUAAUUUAAAGUCUAGCCUGCCCAAUGAAUUUUUAAUGGCCGCGGUAUUUUGACCGUGCAAAGGUAGCAUAAUAAUUUGUUUUUUAAUUGGAAACUGGUAUGAAUGGUUGGACGAGAGAAAGACUGUCUCAAUUUAAAUUUAAUUAGAAUUUUAUUUUUAAGUUAAAAAGCUUAAAUGUAUUUAAAAGACGAGAAGACCCUAUAGAGUUUUAUAUAGAUAUUUUUAUUAUUAUUUAAAGAAUUUGAUUAUUAUAAUUAUAUUUGUAUUUGGUUGGGGUGAUUAAAAAAUUUAAUAAACUUUUUUUUUAUUUUAACAUUAAUAAAUGAUUAUUUGAUCCAUAAAAAUGAUUAUAAGAAUAAAUUACCUUAGGGAUAACAGCGUAAUUUUUUUUGAGAGUUCUUAUCGAAAGAAAAGUUUGCGACCUCGAUGUUGGAUUAAAAUAAAUUUUUGGUGUAGAAGCUAAAAAAUUAGGUCUGUUCGACCUUUAAAAUUUUACAUGAUCUGAGUUCAAACCGGAGA